This 433-nucleotide ribosomal RNA is filed under the name uncultured bacterium. Its description in RNAcentral is "partial 16S ribosomal RNA". It matches the Rfam family "Bacterial small subunit ribosomal RNA", at positions 29 to 507 of the family's 1533-position model. The record is from RNAcentral.
AACGAACGCUGGCGGCAUGCCUAACACAUGCAAGUCGAACGAGACCUUCGGGUCUAGUGGCGCACGGGUGCGUAACACGUGGGAAUCUGCCCUUUGCUUCGGAAUAACAGUUAGAAAUGACUGCUAAUACCGGAUGAUGUCGAAAGACCAAAGAUUUAUCGGCCAAGGAUGAGCCCGCGUAGGAUUCGGUAGUUGGUGGGGUAAAGGCCUACCAAGCCGACGAUCCUUAGCUGGUCUGAGAGGAUGAUCAGCCACACUGGGACUGAGACACGGCCCAGACUCCUACGGGAGGCAGCAGUGGGGAAUAUUGGACAAUGGGCGAAAGCCUGAUCCAGCAAUGCCGCGUGAGUGAUGAAGGCCUUAGGGUUGUAAAGCGCUUUUAACAGGGAUGAUAAUGACAGUACCUGGAGAAUAAGCUCCGGCUAACUCCGUG